This 733-nucleotide ribosomal RNA is filed under the name uncultured bacterium. RNAcentral's name for it is "bacterial SSU rRNA". It matches the Rfam family "Bacterial small subunit ribosomal RNA", at positions 777 to 1504 of the family's 1533-position model. The record is from RNAcentral.
CUUAGAUACCCCUGGUAGUCCACGCUGUAAACGGUGGGUACUAGGUGUGGGGUCCAUUCCACGGAUUCCGUGCCGUAGCUAACGCAUUAAGUACCCCGCCUGGGGAGUACGGCCGCAAGGCUAAAACUCAAAGGAAUUGACGGGGUCCCGCACAAGCGGCGGAGCAUGCGGAUUAAUUCGAUGCAACGCGAAGAACCUUACCUGGGUUUGACAUGGAUUGGUAACGGUCAGAGAUGGCCGCCCCCCUUUGUGGGCCGGUUCACAGGUGGUGCAUGGCUGUCGUCAGCUCGUGUCGUGAGAUGUUGGGUUAAGUCCCGCAACGAGUGCAACCCUCGUCCACUGUUGCCAGCAUUUGGUUGGGGACUCAGUGGAGACCGCCGGGGUCAACUCGGAGGAAGGUGGGGAUGACGUCAAGUCAUCAUGCCCCUUAUGUCCAGGGCUUCACGCAUGCUACAAUGGCCGGUACAAUGAGUGGCGACAUCGUGAGGUGGAGCGAAUCUCAAAAAGCCGGUCUCAGUUCGGAUUGGGGUCUGCAACUCGACCCCAUGAAGUCGGAGUCGCUAGUAAUCGCAGAUCAGCAACGCUGCGGUGAAUACGUUCCCGGGGCUUGUACACACCGCCCGUCAAGUCAUGAAAGUCGGUAACACCCGAAGCCGGUGGCCCAACACGUGAGUGGGGGAGUCGUCGAAGGUGGGACUGGUAAUUAGGACUAAGUCGUAACAAGGUAACCGUA